This 253-nucleotide ribosomal RNA is filed under the name uncultured bacterium. RNAcentral's name for it is "partial 16S ribosomal RNA". It matches the Rfam family "Bacterial small subunit ribosomal RNA", at positions 524 to 776 of the family's 1533-position model. The record is from RNAcentral.
UACGAAGGGAGCUAGCGUUGUUCGGAAUUACUGGGCGUAAAGGGCGCGUAGGUUGUUGCGUAAGUGAGAUGUGAAAUCCCCGGGCUUAACCUGGGAACUGCAUCUUAUACUGCGAGACUAGAGUACGGUAGAGGGUAGUGGAAUUUCCGGUGUAGCGGUGAAAUGCGUAGAUAUCGGAAGGAACGACCAGUGGCGAAGGCGACUACCUGGACUGAUACUGACACUGAGGCGCGAGAGCGUGGGAGCAAACAGG